CCAGGAGCUCCAGGAGAGAUGGGUCAACCCGGACUACGAGGACCUGAAGGCUCAAAGGGUGCAAGGGGAGUGCCAGGUGCUUCAGGUCCUAAUGGAUUCCCUGGUUCGCCAGGGUUUAAAGGCAGCACUGGUGCUCCAGGCAGGCCAGGAUUAUCAGGACCUCCUGGAUACCCUGGAAACAAAGGUUUCCCUGGUCCCAGGGGAUAUCCUGGACAUGAUGGAGAUCGGGGAGAUCCAGGGCCUUGGGGAGAAUCGGGUAUCCCAGGGUUACUGGGAAUUUCAGGAGCCAAGGGUGAGUCAGA
This 302-nucleotide long non-coding RNA is filed under the name Sander lucioperca (pikeperch). RNAcentral describes it as "lncRNA (ENSSLUG00000024111.1)". The record is from RNAcentral. Lineage: Eukaryota; Metazoa; Chordata; Actinopteri; Perciformes; Percidae.